CUGACACAGAACCAUGACACACCUGUCGUAAAGCUAAAUAUUCAGAUGAGUUGGGGAAACAACCAGAGGGGGAGAGGUUAUUGCAUGGAGGAAGCAUUGUUCAAGAUCUGUACGUGUGCACCUGCAGCUAUAUGCAGCUUCCUCCAUUCUCAUUAUGUAUUUUUCCACAGUGACAUCAUGAUGAAGUCCAACCUACUAAAAGUAACUCAAAGUGACUUCCGAAAGAGAGACUGAAAAGAAAGUAUUGAGUCUGAGGGAGCUGGAUGAGCAGACCUUUACUCACCUUUACUCACACUCAGACAUUUAGAAAUACUAAGAGUCAGAUCAGCCGGAGUAACGUGGAAAUGUCUGCAGUAACUUUGUCGCUCUGCUCGACUUUCCUGUUUAUCUGCAUCUUCAUGUUUGUCUCUGCAGAGCAUAAAGUCAUCACAGCUGACUCUGGACGGGAUGUUACUGUGCCAUGUCAAGCUCCAAACAACAACAACAACUUAGUUGCCCCAAACAACAAGAGCUCAAACCUCACACCUGUUUCUCACCUGCAGCUUAUCACACAUUUGAUUUCCAUGUGUGACGACUGCAAGUGUCCAGAGUGAGGACAGACUGAGGGACCCACUGCUGCACAUCAUCUGUGAGGCUUUGCACCCCUGAUGAUCCACCAGGACAAACUCAGCAGUGUGUGAGGAAGAGGAGGAGGAAGAGUCAGCAGCAGCUGACAGAUGGAGAGAAUAGACAGACUGUUCCCUGUUUGUGAAGGACUGCUAGAAAAGUUUAACAUAACUAAUUGUCUGUCCUGAAUCAGUCUUAUUAGGUAAUGUUCAAAUAAUGUUAUCAUCCCAGUGUUUUCAGUGUGGGAGAAAGUACUCAGGGCCUUCAAGUUACACACUAUGAAAGGCAGAAACAAGUUUAAUGUUCAGAAACCUAAAGUAUGUAUCAGCAGCAGAAUGGAGCUAAAAAUAAAUGUUUGUUUCAGUUCUAUGAAGCUUUGAGUAUUUUGGAUUAGUAGCACUGCUGUGUUUGUUGCAUCAUAUUGCUGUAAUUGUUUAUAUGCUUUAUAUAUUCUGAGGUAAGUUGAUCUAUAGUGUUACAUCAUAUUCUAUAAGGAUGUUAUGUGUUUGUAGACUUUCUGCCCAGUUUGACCCAUUUAGCAGAAGUCAGCCUGUUUAAGGCUCUGAUAUCUAUUCUGUAUGACUUAAAGCAGUUAUGACAUGGUCUGAUUUUCUCAC
Molecule: long non-coding RNA, 1223 nt
Organism: Oreochromis aureus
Lineage: Eukaryota; Metazoa; Chordata; Actinopteri; Cichliformes; Cichlidae
Source: Ensembl